This 71-nucleotide transfer RNA is filed under the name Ovis aries (sheep). It matches the Rfam family "tRNA". Rfam says of the family: Transfer RNA (tRNA) molecules are approximately 80 nucleotides in length. The record is from Rfam by way of RNAcentral. Lineage: Eukaryota; Metazoa; Chordata; Mammalia; Artiodactyla; Bovidae.
UCCUGGGUGGCUCAGUCAGUGAAGAAUCUGCCUGCAAUGCAGGAGAUCUGGGUUCAAUCCUGGAUCAGGAA